RNAcentral lists this ribosomal RNA (2009 nucleotides) under Listeria monocytogenes. Its description in RNAcentral is "partial 23S ribosomal RNA". It matches the Rfam family "Bacterial large subunit ribosomal RNA", at positions 1 to 2000 of the family's 2925-position model. The record is from RNAcentral. Lineage: Bacteria; Bacillati; Bacillota; Bacilli; Caryophanales; Listeriaceae.
UUGGUUAAGUUAGAAAGGGCGCACGGUGGAUGCCUUGGCACUAGGAGCCGAAGAAGGACGGGACUAACACCGAUAUGCUUUGGGGAGCUGUACGUAAGCGUUGAUCCAGAGAUUUCCGAAUGGGGGAACCCACUAUCUUUAGUCGGAUAGUAUCCUUACGUGAAUACAUAGCGUGAGGAAGGCAGACCCAGGGAACUGAAACAUCUAAGUACCUGGAGGAAGAGAAAGAAAAAUCGAUUUCCUGAGUAGCGGCGAGCGAAACGGAAAGAGCCCAAACCAAGAAGCUUGCUUCUUGGGGUUGUAGGACACUCUAUACGGAGUUACAAAAGAAAGUUAUAAAUGAAGCGGUCUGGAAAGGCCCGCCAAAGACGGUAACAGCCCGGUAGUUGAAAUGGCUUUCCCUCCAGAGUGGAUCCUGAGUACGGCGGAACACGUGAAAUUCCGUCGGAAUCCGGGAGGACCAUCUCCCAAGGCUAAAUACUCCCUAGUGACCGAUAGUGAACCAGUACCGUGAGGGAAAGGUGAAAAGCACCCCGGAAGGGGAGUGAAACAGUUCCUGAAACCGUGUGCCUACAAGUAGUUAGAGCCCGUUAAUGGGUGAUAGCGUGCCUUUUGUAGAAUGAACCGGCGAGUUACGAUUUGUUGCAAGGUUAAGCGGAAAAAGCGGAGCCGUAGCGAAAGCGAGUCUGAAUAGGGCGCAUAAGUAACAGGUCGUAGACCCGAAACCAGGUGAUCUACCCAUGUCCAGGAUGAAGGUAAGGUAAUACUUACUGGAGGUCCGAACCCACGCACGUUGAAAAGUGCGGGGAUGAGGUGUGGGUAGCGGAGAAAUUCCAAUCGAACUUGGAGAUAGCUGGUUCUCUCCGAAAUAGCUUUAGGGCUAGCCUCGAGGUAAAGAGUCAUGGAGGUAGAGCACUGUUUGGACUAGGGGCCCUUCUCGGGUUACCGAAUUCAGAUAAACUCCGAAUGCCAUGUACUUAUACUCGGGAGUCAGACUGCGAGUGAUAAGAUCCGUAGUCGAAAGGGAAACAGCCCAGACCACCAGUUAAGGUCCCCAAAUAUAUGUUAAGUGGAAAAGGAUGUGGGGUUGCUUAGACAACCAGGAUGUUGGCUUAGAAGCAGCCACCAUUGAAAGAGUGCGUAAUAGCUCACUGGUCGAGUGACCCCGCGCCGAAAAUGUACCGGGGCUAAACAUAUUACCGAAACUGUGGAUGAACCUCUUUAGAGGUUCGUGGUAGGAGAGCGUUCUAAGGGCGGUGAAGUCAGACCGGAAGGACUGGUGGAGCGCUUAGAAGUGAGAAUGCCGGUAUGAGUAGCGAAAGAAGGGUGAGAAUCCCUUCCACCGAAUAUCUAAGGUUUCCUGAGGAAGGCUCGUCCGCUCAGGGUUAGUCGGGACCUAAGCCGAGGCCGAUAGGCGUAGGCGAUGGACAACAGGUAGAGAUUCCUGUACCAGUGCUAAUUGUUUAACCGAUGGGGUGACACAGAAGGAUAGGGAAUCGCACGAAUGGAAAUGUGCGUCCAAGCAGUGAGUGUGAGAAGUAGGCAAAUCCGCUUCUCGCGAAGCAUGAGCUGUGAUGGGGAAGGAAAUUAAGUACGGAAGUUCCUGAUUUCACGCUGUCAAGAAAAGCCUCUAGGAAGAGUAGUACUGCCCGUACCGCAAACCGACACAGGUAGAUGAGGAGAGAAUCCUAAGGUGAGCGAGAGAACUCUCGUUAAGGAACUCGGCAAAAUGACCCCGUAACUUCGGGAGAAGGGGUGCUCUAUUAGGGUGCAAGCCCGAGAGAGCCGCAGUGAAUAGGCCCAGGCGACUGUUUAGCAAAAACACAGGUCUCUGCAAAACCGUAAGGUGACGUAUAGGGGCUGACGCCUGCCCGGUGCUGGAAGGUUAAGAGGAGUGCUUAGCUUCGGCGAAGGUACGAAUUGAAGCCCCAGUAAACGGCGGCCGUAACUAUAACGGUCCUAAGGUAGCGAAAUUCCUUGUCGGGUAAGUUCCGACCCGCACGAAAGGC